RNAcentral lists this transfer RNA (88 nucleotides) under Candidatus Nomurabacteria bacterium RIFCSPLOWO2_01_FULL_36_10b. Its description in RNAcentral is "tRNA-Ser". Lineage: Bacteria; Candidatus Nomuraibacteriota. The record is from RNAcentral.
GGAGAGGUCGCAUAGUGGUCUAGUGCGCACGCUUGGAAAGCGUGUGGGGGGAAACCCUCCGCGAGUUCAAAUCUUGGCAGGUACCCCA